UGGACAUAUUAUUGUAUUCGACUGUAUUCACGGCGUGAAACAGGGGAUUACACUGUUUUUAAACGGAAAAUGAAUCAAUUAACAUAAUAGACUCCU
Molecule: non-coding RNA, 96 nt
Organism: Nicotiana sylvestris (wood tobacco)
Lineage: Eukaryota; Viridiplantae; Streptophyta; Magnoliopsida; Solanales; Solanaceae
Source: Rfam